Molecule: unclassified non-coding RNA, 376 nt
Filed under: plant metagenome
Description: partial contains 5.8S ribosomal RNA, internal transcribed spacer 2, and large subunit ribosomal RNA
Rfam family: 5.8S ribosomal RNA (bases 1-105)
Source: RNAcentral
GAAAUGCGAUAAGUAAUGUGAAUUGCAGAAUUCAGUGAAUCAUCGAAUCUUUGAACGCACCUUGCGCUCCUUGGUAUUCCUUGGAGCAUGCCUGUUUGAGUAUCAUGAAAUCUUCAAAGUAAAUCUUUUGUUAACUCAAUUGGUUUCUACUUUGGUAUUGGAGGUCUUUGCAGCUUCACACCUGCUCCUCUUUGUUCAUUAGCUGGAUCUCAGUGUUAUGCUUGGUUCCACUCGGCGUGAUAAGUUAUCUAUCGCUGAGGACACUGUAAAAGGUGGCCAAGGUAAAUGCAGAUGAACCGCUUCUAAUAGUCCAUUGACUUGGACAAUACUUUUAUGAUCUGAUCUCAAAUCAGGUAGGACUACCCGCGGAACUUAA